RNAcentral lists this ribosomal RNA (975 nucleotides) under uncultured marine bacterium. RNAcentral describes it as "bacterial SSU rRNA". It matches the Rfam family "Bacterial small subunit ribosomal RNA", at positions 54 to 1029 of the family's 1533-position model. The record is from RNAcentral.
CAUGCAAGUCGAACGGUAACAGAAAAAGCUUGCUUUUUGCUGACGAGUGGCGAACGGGUGCGUAACGCGUAUGCAACCUACCUUUUUCUAAGGAAUAGCCCAGAGAAAUUUGGAUUAAUACCUUAUAAUAAUAUUCAUUCGCAUGUUUGAAUAUUUAAAGCUUUUGCGGAAAAAGAUGGGCAUGCGUGACAUUAGUUUGUUGGUGAGGUAACAGCUCACCAAGACUACGAUGUCUAGGGGUUCUGAGGGGAUGAUCCCCCACACUGGUACUGAGACACGGACCAGACUCCUACGGGAGGCAGCAGUGAGGAAUAUUGGUCAAUGGACGAAAGUCUGAACCAGCCAUGCCGCGUGAAGGAUGACGGCCCUACGGGUUGUAAACUUCUUUUGUAUAGGAAGAACCCCCCCUACGUGUAGAGGGCUGACGGUACUAUACGAAUAAGCACCGGCUAACUCCGUGCCAGCAGCCGCGGUAAUACGGAGGGUGCAAGCGUUAUCCGGAAUUAUUGGGUUUAAAGGGUGCGUAGGCGGAAAUUUAAGUCAGUGGUGAAAGCCUGCAGCUCAACUGUAGAAUUGCCAUUGAUACUGAAUUUCUUGAAUCUAAUUGAAGUGGGCGGAAUAUGACAUGUAGCGGUGAAAUGCUUAGAUAUGUCAUAGAACACCGAUAGCGAAGGCAGCUCACUAAGUUAGUAUUGACGCUCAUGCACGAAAGCGUGGGGAGCGAACAGGAUUAGAUACCCUGGUAGUCCACGCUGUAAACGAUGAUUACUCGCUAUUGGCGAUACACUGUCAGUGGCUAAGCGAAAGUGAUAAGUAAUCCACCUGGGGAGUACGAUCGCAAGGUUGAAACUCAAAGGAAUUGACGGGGGCCCGCACAAGCGGUGGAGCAUGUGGUUUAUUCGAUGAUACGCGAGGAACCUUACCAGGACUUAAAUGCAUAACGAUCGGUUGAGAAAUCAACUUUUCUUCGGACGG